CCCUUAGAUGUUCUGGGCUGCACGCGCGCUACACUGACACACCCAGCGAGUCUCCUGCCCUGACAGGGUUGGAUAAUCAUUGGAGUGUGUGUCGUGAUGGGGAUAGAGUAUUGCAAUUAUUGCUCUCGAACGAGGAAUUCCUAGUAAGCACAAGUCAGCAGCUUGUGCUGAUUACGUCCCUGCCCUUUGUACACACCGCCCGUCGCUCCUACCGAGGGGGUGAUCCGGUGAAUGGUUCGGACUUUGGCGUUUCUAGCUGCUAGCAGCGCUGAAGAAAGUUUUGUGAACCUUAUCACUUGGAGGAAGGAGAAGUCGUAACA
RNAcentral lists this ribosomal RNA (320 nucleotides) under uncultured eukaryote. RNAcentral's name for it is "partial 18S ribosomal RNA". It matches the Rfam family "Eukaryotic small subunit ribosomal RNA", at positions 1470 to 1796 of the family's 1831-position model. The record is from RNAcentral.